GACGAACGCUGGCGGCGUGCCUAAUACAUGCAAGUCGAACGAGAGCGCCCGGUGCUUGCACUGGUCAAUCUAGUGGCGAACGGGUGAGUAACACGUGGGUAACCUGCCCAUCAGAGGGGGAUAACAUCCGGAAACGGAUGCUAAAACCGCAUAGGUCUUCGAGCCGCAUGGCUUGAAGAGGAAAAGAGGCGCAAGCUUCUGCUGAUGGAUGGACCCGCGGUGCAUUAGCUAGUUGGUGAGGUGACGGCUCACCAAGGCCGUGAUGCAUAGCCGACCUGAGAGGGUGAUCGGCCACAUUGGGACUGAGACACGGCCCAAACUCCUACGGGAGGCAGCAGUAGGGAAUCUUCCGCAAUGGACGCAAGUCUGACGGAGCAACGCCGCGUGAGUGAAGAAGGUUUUCGGAUCGUAAAACUCUGUUGUUAGAGAAGAACAAGUGCUAGAGUAACUGUUAGCGCCUUGACGGUAUCUAACCAGAAAGCCACGGCUAACUACGUG
Molecule: ribosomal RNA, 498 nt
Filed under: uncultured bacterium
Lineage: Bacteria
Description: partial 16S ribosomal RNA
Rfam family: Bacterial small subunit ribosomal RNA
Source: RNAcentral